GGCCUACCAUGGUGGUAACGGGUAACGGGGAAUUAGGGUUCGAUUCCGGAGAGGGAGCCUGAGAAACGGCUACCACAUCCAAGGAAGGCAGCAGGCGCGCAAAUUACCCAAUCCCGACACGGGGAGGUAGUGACAAUAAAUAACAAUACGGGGCUCUUUCGGGUCUCGUAAUUGGAAUGAGUACAAUUUAAAUCCCUUAACGAGGAACAAUUGGAGGGCAAGUCUGGUGCCAGCAGCCGCGGUAAUUCCAGCUCCAAUAGCGUAUAUUAAAGUUGUUGCAGUUAAAAAGCUCGUAGUUGAAUUUCGGGAUCAAUAUUUCGGUCAUGCCGUUGGUAUGCACUGUUAUCAUUGAUUUCUCACCUUCUAAAGAACCGUAAUGCCAUUAAUUUGGUGUUACGGGGAAUUAGGACUGUUACCUUGAAAAAAUUAGAGUGUUUAAAGCAGGCUCACGCUUGAAUACAUUAGCAUGGAAUAAUGAAAUAGGACGGCAUGAUUCUAUUUUGUUGGUUUCUAGGAUCACCGUAAUGAUUAAUAGGGAUAGUUGGGGGCAUUAGUAUUCAAUUGUCAGAGGUGAAAUUCUUGGAUUUAUUGAAGACUAACUACUGCGAAAGCAUUUGCCAAGGAUGUUUUCAUUAAUCAAGAACGAAAGUUAGGGGAUCGAAGACGAUCAGAUACCGUCGUAGUCUUAACCAUAAACUAUGCCGACUAGGAAUCAGACGAUGUUAAUUUUUUAAUGACUCGUUUGGCACCUUACG
Molecule: ribosomal RNA, 755 nt
Filed under: uncultured Glomeromycotina
Lineage: Eukaryota; Fungi; Glomeromycota
Description: SSU rRNA
Rfam family: Eukaryotic small subunit ribosomal RNA
Source: RNAcentral